Long non-coding RNA from Scylla paramamosain (green mud crab), 1764 nucleotides. RefSeq lists it as uncharacterized. The record is from RefSeq and is a predicted model, not a curated record. NCBI's taxonomy places the organism in Eukaryota, Metazoa, Arthropoda, Malacostraca, Decapoda, Portunidae. The transcript has 3 exons.
AGGGAUAGAUUCAAAGGGCAGCGCAACACAAACACAAACCCACCAGUGUUUGUGUUUCAUGUGAGAACAACGAUAUGGGGAUGAACAGGAACCAGCGCCAGGAUGAGAUAGGACUAUUCCAAGAAGACACCGUCUCUCUCUAUAAUCCACCCACGCAACCGAGGGGCUGCCAUUGGCGCAGAGGCGCGUGACAUUCACAUGCUCAUAAAUAAGGAGCCACGCAGCCUCAACUCACCCUGCGCUGGUCGCCAUGACUGCCCGCCUGGUGACGCCUUGCUGCAUGGCGCUUUUCCUCUUCCUGACGGUGAGCUCUGCCACCACACACUGUCUUAGCAAUCUGCCGACACUUGUAAUAAGAUGAGCAAAGAAAUACCUAUACAACAAAAUAUUUUCUUUUAAGUCUGCCAAGGAUCUCUCGGUAUUCAUGACACCAUUAUUGAUGCAAAAACAAAGAAAGUCACCACAGAGUUGAGGUACACAUGAUGCGUCUGCUCCCCAAGUGGCGGGUGGCGGCUUGUGCCAGGAGCUUCUUCAGUCCCAGCCACUGAAAUGCAGCGCCCAGGUGAGAAAAACAAUGGAAUUACCUUCGUGUAUGUGCAGAGCGCUUCUACCUUUCACGGUGCGCACCUUCCUCCGUGACGUCCCUGUAGUACAACACCCUAGAGGACCCUGAAGAGUGACCAGCACAAAAUUACACCUUACAUUUUAUAACACAAACAACAGUUUCUUCGCUUACCUUCACUAUAGCAGGUCCCGCAGGUCCCCGCCGGCCACCGCCCCGCCAAGUACUACUCCUCAGAGGUGAGUGUCCCUGCAAGAGCUCUUCCUGCUCGUAUUGAUAAGGUGUGAAAUGUUGAGUCACGUGUCCACUUCCGCUUGCCCCAUCAGAUGAAGGAGGUCAAGGCGUCGCUGCGCGGCGGCUUCUUCUCCUCCCUUGAGGUCUACCUGUGUCUGGAGAGUUUGGCGGAGGAGUGCGCCAUAAAGUGAGCAGCAGCGGCUGCCGUGGCUCCUGGGACGUGCAGGAUUAACAAAAUAAUUUGCUCUUGUAUCAUUGGUAAAAAUUUACUUUCUAGUCUUCCUUUUUUUUUUUUUCAUGUUCAGGAAUUUGUAUUGUGGCAUCAGGUACUUCAGUUAUGACUGGAUUACGAUGUUACAUAACAAUGGCUCCAAGUUUUCAUGAGAAGUUACAUCGCUUGUGUAAACACUGCAAACUGCUGUCACUAAACAAUCUGGAUUUGUGUCCGCGAGGGAAAGGGAAGGGAAGGGCGAAGGGUUAUGCCUAGUCUUCCAACAGGGAGCGCCUCCACUUACUGGAUGGUGACGCCAUCAUAGAAUUCCAGCGGCGGGAAGCUCGACCCAGAAACUACACCCACGUUGCUUUUAUUAUCCUGCCGGACGCCAAGACCUGCCAGCCGUGCACGCUUCAGGUUCGGGUGAUGAGCAGCAAGUUUGAAAACAACGUCCUCAAAUAUGGUGAGGAGAAAACCUUCUGCUUUGACAUCACACGAAAAUGACCGAAGAAGAAAAAAUAUCUAAGUUGGAUGAAGAUGACUCCUGAAAACACAGACCAGGUGGUGUGGUGAGGAUGGCGGCGCAGUGCAGCCCUAAAAAGCAGGAGGCGCCCCGCACGCCUCACUGCCCAACGCCUGCCAUCCUCACUAAAUGUAAUGAUUUUUUUCUUGAUAUAAAUUCAAUGAUUGUUGUAUGAAGGAUUGCAAUCUGUGUUAUUGUAUAAUUAAAAUUUGCAUAUAAAAAUUCAUGCAC